CCUACGGGUGGCAGCAGUAGGGAAUCUUCCACAAUGGGCGAAAGCCUGAUGGAGCAACGCCGCGUGUGUGAAGAAGGUCUUCGGAUCGUAAAACCCUGUUGUUAGAGAAGAAAGUGCGUGCGAGUACCUGUUCCCGUUUCGCCGGUAUCUAACCAGAAAGCCACGGCUAACUACGUGCCAGCAGCCGCGGUAAUAAGUAGGUGGCAAGCGUUAUCCGGAUUUAUUGGGCGUAAAGGUAACGCAGGCGGUCUUUUAAGUCGGAUGUGAAAGCCUUCGGCUUAACCGGAGUAGUGCAUUGGAAACUGGGAGACUUGAGUGCAGAAGAGGAGAGUGGAACUCCAUGUGUAGCGGUGAAAUGCGUAGAUAUAUGGAAGAACCCCGAUUGCGAAGGCAGCAUACCGGUGCACAACUGACGCUCAGGCACGAAAGCGUGGGUAUCGAACAGGAUUAGAUACCCGAGUAGGC
This 465-nucleotide ribosomal RNA is filed under the name uncultured bacterium. Its description in RNAcentral is "partial 16S ribosomal RNA". It matches the Rfam family "Bacterial small subunit ribosomal RNA", at positions 338 to 795 of the family's 1533-position model. The record is from RNAcentral.